GCCUGGGGAGUACGGCCGCAAGGCUAAAACUCAAAGAAAUUGACGGGGGCCCGCACAAGCGGCGGAGCAUGUGGAUUAAUUCGAUGCAACGCGAAGAACCUUACCUGGGUUUGACAUGCACAGGACGGGCCUAGAGAUAGGUAUUCCCUUGUGGCCUGUGUGCAGGUGGUGCAUGGCUGUCGUCAGCUCGUGUCGUGAGAUGUUGGGUUAAGUCCCGCAACGAGCGCAACCCUUAUCUUAUGUUGCCAGCGCGUA
This 255-nucleotide ribosomal RNA is filed under the name Mycobacterium sp. ITM-2017-0098. RNAcentral describes it as "partial 16S ribosomal RNA". It matches the Rfam family "Bacterial small subunit ribosomal RNA", at positions 871 to 1127 of the family's 1533-position model. The record is from RNAcentral. Lineage: Bacteria; Bacillati; Actinomycetota; Actinomycetes; Mycobacteriales; Mycobacteriaceae.